GUCUACGGCCACGCCACCCUGAACAAGCCCAUCCCGUCUGAUCCAGAUGCUAAGCAGGGUCGGGCCUGGUUAGUACUUGGAUGGGAGACCACCUAGGAAGACCAGGUGCUGUAGGCA
RNAcentral lists this ribosomal RNA (117 nucleotides) under Pteropus alecto (black flying fox). Lineage: Eukaryota; Metazoa; Chordata; Mammalia; Chiroptera; Pteropodidae. The record is from RNAcentral.